RNAcentral lists this ribosomal RNA (641 nucleotides) under Mycobacterium sp. I13A-01619. RNAcentral describes it as "bacterial SSU rRNA". It matches the Rfam family "Bacterial small subunit ribosomal RNA", at positions 100 to 755 of the family's 1533-position model. Lineage: Bacteria; Bacillati; Actinomycetota; Actinomycetes; Mycobacteriales; Mycobacteriaceae. The record is from RNAcentral.
GAACGGGUGAGUAACACGUGGGUGAUCUGCCCUGCACUUUGGGAUAAGCCUGGGAAACUGGGUCUAAUACCGAAUAUGACCGCACACUUCCUGGUGUGUGGUGGAAAGCUUUUGCGGUGUGGGAUGGGCCCGCGGCCUAUCAGCUUGUUGGUGGGGUAAUGGCCUACCAAGGCGACGACGGGUAGCCGGCCUGAGAGGGUGACCGGCCACACUGGGACUGAGAUACGGCCCAGACUCCUACGGGAGGCAGCAGUGGGGAAUAUUGCACAAUGGGCGCAAGCCUGAUGCAGCGACGCCGCGUGAGGGAUGACGGCCUUCGGGUUGUAAACCUCUUUCAAUAGGGACGAAGCGCAAGUGACGGUACCUAUAGAAGAAGGACCGGCCAACUACGUGCCAGCAGCCGCGGUAAUACGUAGGGUCCGAGCGUUGUCCGGAAUUACUGGGCGUAAAGAGCUCGUAGGUGGUUUGUCGCGUUGUUCGUGAAAACUCACAGCUUAACUGUGGGCGUGCGGGCGAUACGGGCAGACUAGAGUACUGCAGGGGAGACUGGAAUUCCUGGUGUAGCGGUGGAAUGCGCAGAUAUCAGGAGGAACACCGGUGGCGAAGGCGGGUCUCUGGGCAGUAACUGACGCUGAGGAGCG